Molecule: small nuclear RNA, 105 nt
Organism: Erinaceus europaeus (western European hedgehog)
Lineage: Eukaryota; Metazoa; Chordata; Mammalia; Eulipotyphla; Erinaceidae
Source: Ensembl
GUGCUUGCUUCGGUAGCCUAUAUACUAACAUUGGAAUGGUAGAGAAGAUUAGCAUGGCCCCUGCACAAGAAUGACACACAAAUUAGUGAUUUGCAUUCAAUAUUA